Molecule: ribosomal RNA, 433 nt
Filed under: uncultured archaeon
Lineage: Archaea
Description: bacterial SSU rRNA
Rfam family: Archaeal small subunit ribosomal RNA
Source: RNAcentral
UACCGGCUCUCCGAGUUGUAGGGACGAUUAUUGGGCUUAAAGCGUCCGUAGCUGGCUUAGCAAGUCCCCUGUUAAAUUCAGCGACCUAAUCGUUGAGCCGCGGGGAGAUACUACUAGGCUAGGGAGGCGGGAGAGGUCGACGGUACUUUCGGGGUAGGGGUGAAAUCCUAUAAUCCCGAGAGGACCACCAGUGGCGAAGGCUGUCGACUAGAACGCGCUCGACGGUGAGGGACGAAAGCCUGGGGGUAGCGAACCGGGUUAGAUACCCCGGGUAGUCCCAGCUGUAAACUAUGCGGGCUAGGUGUUGGGGUGGCUACGGGGCCACUUCAGUGCCGCAGGAAGCCAUUAAGCCGCCGCUGGGGAGUACGGCCGCAAGGCUGAAACUUAAAGGAAGUUGGCGGGGGAGCACCACAAGGCGUGAAGCUUGCGGUUC